Hydra vulgaris (swiftwater hydra) is the source of this 1049-nucleotide non-coding RNA. The record is from RefSeq and is a predicted model, not a curated record. Lineage: Eukaryota; Metazoa; Cnidaria; Hydrozoa; Anthoathecata; Hydridae.
UCAUAUAAAUGUGACCGUGCAAAAUGCUCCAAAGCUCGAACAAUAAUUUCAGGUGAAUAUUUUUGCUAAAAAAUCCCGAGAAAAAAAAACCCGCUAAUACUACUAGGAAUAUGUUUAACUUCCUGCUAAUACUGUUAAGUUCCUGCUAAUCCUGUUAAGUUCCUGCUAAUCCUGGUAAGUUUUCGCUUAAUACGGCUAAACCUAUUAAGUUUCCCAUUAGUGAAAUGACGUUUAUGAAUUUCCUGCUAAUCCUACUAAGUACUUAUCAGGAUUAAACGAAUUACUUAGUAAGUUCCUAGUAAUUUUUCAAAAAUAAAACAAGUAUAAAAAAUCGUCUUUGUUAUACGCCAUCUUUUAUUUAUUCACACCGAAGACAAGUCAGCCAUAAAACAGCUUUUUUAGAUUCAAUAGAUUUACUAUUGAAUCUAAAAAAGCUGUUUAAUAUUUGUAAUUCUAUAAGGAAAAAGCUCAAGAACAUCUGGUGAUGAUUGCGUGGUUUGCAGUUUAUUUGAUGAAUAUUUGUUAAUGUGUUAUAAUAUGGUUUUAAAUGUUAAUUUUAACUCUAUAUAAAUUCGAGCAUUUUCUGUUGUAUCAAUUCGAGCAUUUUCUGAUUCAUAGUGAUAUUUCCAUCUCAAACCAUUUACAAUCAAUUAGCUUCAGGUUGGUAAUGUCAACGCAAAAGCCAACCUAUUUUUGCUUCACGCCGGCAUGCAACUGCUGACCUAAAUCUUUGUAACAAGUAGCAAAAGAUUCUGUUUGCAAUCAAUAAAUUAAUGAAACAUCAAACUUAAUUCAUAAUGGCGACAGGAGUUUGUUGUUUACAAUGAUCUAAAUCAGAUUUCUUAACAGUUUUAGAUUAUAAUAGCUUUGAAACAAUGAUAAUGAAAGUUUUUUCAUCGUUCUAAAUUUAUGCUACAGUUAUGGUCGUAAAAGAUUAAGAAAAAUCUUAUGGGUGCAAUUAUUCCACUGACCCCGCGAAAAUUACCAAAAAAACUGACCAUCGCUGUUUAUUGUAUUUUUUAAAAUGUUCUAUUUAAACAAUCUAACAC